AUGGCGAGCGAGGAGGGCCAGCUCAAGACGCGGGUGUCCGACCGUCUGAUGGCGCUCCUGGGCUACUCCGAGGUCAUGGUGGUGCGCCUGGUGCUCCGCCUCGCGCGGGACAGCGCCUCGGCGGCCGACCUCGCGGCGCGCCUCGUCGACCUCGCCGGCCUCCCCUCCUCCGCCGACACCGUCGCCUUCGCGGAGGACGUGCACGCCAUGUUCCCCCGCAAGGGCUCCCGCGUCAGCGAGUACCGGAAGCAGGUGCAGGAGGCGGCGGCGUUCGCCAAGAGGCAGAGCGCCCUCAAGCUGCUCGACGACGAGGACGAUGUCGCUGAAGACGCCGGCGCCACCACCACCGCGUGGUCCUCUAACAGCAACAUCAAGAAGCGUUUCAGGCAGAAGGCCGCGAGCCAAGGGGAUGACGACGGCGAGGAGGAGGCGACUGUAAUGCGCGAUUCAGGGCGGAAAGUGCGAGCGCGGCGUGCUCCCGCGACGGACGGCGGCGAUUCUGGUGGGGAGGAACUAGAGGAGAUGGACCGUGACCAGAUCGAGAAGGCUCAGCUCGACCAGCACAUCAGAGAACGCGACGCGGCCAGCACUAGGAAACUGACGGAUGGGAAGCCGUCCAAGCGAGAACAGGGCGAGCUCGCCCGGCGGUCCGAAGCCAUGGACAGGGGCGACACCUCGGAGCUCAGGACGGCCUCGCGGCACGCGUACCUGGAAAAGCGGAAGAAGAUGAAGGUGGAGGAGAUGCGAGACGAGAUCAUCGACAACGAGCUUAUCUUCCACGGCGUCAAGAUGACGAACGCCGAAGAGCAGGAAUUCAGGCGCAAGAAGGAAAUCUACGAGCUUGUCAAGGACCGCGUCGGAAAGGACGCAGACGCCGGCGACUACUAUAGGAUGCCAGAGGCAUACGACGCCGCAGAAAACUUGGAUCAGGCUAAGCGGUUCGCCGUUCCGAGGCAACGGUACGAUGACCCCGAGGCGUCGGCGGCGAGAGGCGGCAGGAGGAGCAAUUUCUUCUCGGAGCAGGAGGCCUGGGAAGAGCAGCAGAUAAGGAAGUCUCGGCUGAACUUUGGAUCAGGUGACGGUGGCCGGGCCGGCGGCGGCUACGAGCUUGUCCUGGAAGACGUGGUCGACUUCGUCAAGUCCACCGUGCAGGCCGGCGCCGAGCCGGACGGCGAGAUGGACGAACUGGCCGAGGCCGUCGACGCCAAGGUCAAGUUACAGCGGGAGCUGCAGGACGAGAGGAAGAAUCUGCCCGUGUACAAGUUCAAGGACGACCUGCUCAAGGCCAUCGAAAAGUACCAGGUGCUGAUCAUCGUCGGAGAGACCGGCUCCGGCAAGACCACGCAGAUACCUCAGUACCUCCACGAGGCCGGGUACACGGCCAAGGGGAAGAAGAUCGCGUGCACGCAGCCGCGGCGCGUGGCGGCGAUGAGCGUGGCGGCGAGGGUGGCGCAGGAGCUGGGCGUCAAGCUCGGGCACGAGGUCGGCUACUCCAUCAGGUUCGAGGACUGCACCUCGGACAAGACAGUGAUCAAGUACAUGACGGACGGGAUGCUCCUGCGGGAGUUCCUCGGCGAGCCGGACCUGGCGAGCUACAGCGUGGUGAUCGUGGACGAGGCGCACGAGCGCACGCUCUCCACCGACAUCCUCUUCGGCCUGGUCAAGGACAUUGCGCGCUUCCGGCCGGACGUGAAGCUGCUCAUCUCCAGCGCCACGCUCAACGCCGAGAGGUUCAGCGACUUCUUCGACGAGGCCCCCAUCUUCAAGAUCCCCGGGAGGCGGUACAAGGUGGACAUCCACUACACCACGGCGCCGGAGGCGGACUACAUCGCCGCGGCCGUGGUCACGGUCCUGCAGCUGCACGUCAAGCAGCCCGCCGGCGACAUCCUGCUGUUCCUCACGGGGCAGGAGGAGAUCGAGACGGUGGAAGAGCUACUGAAGCAGAAGAUGAGGACGGUCGGCAGCAAGAUUGCAGAGCUGGUGAUCUGCCCGAUCUACGCGAACCUGCCCACCGAGCUCCAGGCCAAGAUCUUCGAGCCGACGCCGGAGGGCGCCCGCAAGGUGGUCCUGGCCACCAACAUCGCCGAGACGUCGCUGACCAUCGACGGGAUCAAGUACGUGAUCGACCCGGGCUUCUGCAAGCUCAAGUCGUACAACCCGCGCACGGGCAUGGAGUCGCUGCGCGUUGAGCCCAUCUCCAAGGCGUCGGCGGACCAGCGCGCCGGCCGGUCGGGGCGCACAGGGCCGGGCAAGUGCUUCCGCCUCUUCACGGAGUACAACUUCAGGCACGACCUGGACGACGAUACGGUCCCGGAGAUCCAGAGGAGCAACCUGGCCAACGUGGUGCUGAGGCUCAAGGCGCUGGGCAUCAACGACCUGGUGAGCUUCGACUUCAUGGACCCCCCGGCGUCGGAGGCGCUGCUCAAGGCCCUGGAGGAGCUCUUCGCCCUCGGCACGCUCAACAGCCGCGGCGAGCUCACCAAGACCGGGAGGCGGAUGGCGGAGUUCCCCCUGGACCCCAUGCUCUCCAAGGCCAUCGUCGCGUCGGAGAAGUACGGGUGCUCCGAGGAGGUGGUGACCAUCGCGGCCAUGCUGUCGGCCGGGAACGCCGUCUUCUACCGGCCCAAGGACAAGCUGGUGCUCGCCGACACGGCGCGGCAGGCCUUCCACGCGGGCAACGUCGGCGACCACGUGGCGCUGCUCAACGUGUACAACGCGUGGACAGAGUCGGGCUACUCGUCGCAGUGGUGCCGCGAGAACUUCGUGCAGCCGCGCACCAUGAAGCGCGCGCGGGACGUGCGGGACCAGCUGGAGGCGCUGCUGGAGCGGGUGGAGAUCGAGCACUGCUCCGGCGCCGGCGACCUCGACGGGAUAAGGAAGGCGGUCACGGCGGGCUACUUCCGUAACGCCGCGCGGCGGCAGAAGGACGGGUCGUACCGUGCCGUCAAGAGCCGGCAGAUGGUGUUCGUGCACCCGAGCUCCGGGAUGGCGGAGCUGCCGCCUACGUGGGUGGUGUACCAUGAGCUGGUGCUGACCAGCAAGGAGUACAUGCGGCAGGUGACGGAGCUCAAGCCGGAGUGGCUGCUGGAGAUCGCGCCGCACUAUUACCAGCGCAAGGACAUCGACGGGCACCAGCCAAAGAAGACGGCCAAGGACAAAGGUCCAGCGGCGAGGCAAACCUGA
RNAcentral lists this ribosomal RNA (3183 nucleotides) under Triticum aestivum (bread wheat). RNAcentral describes it as "partial small subunit ribosomal RNA". Lineage: Eukaryota; Viridiplantae; Streptophyta; Magnoliopsida; Poales; Poaceae. The record is from RNAcentral.